This 254-nucleotide ribosomal RNA is filed under the name uncultured bacterium. RNAcentral's name for it is "partial 16S ribosomal RNA". It matches the Rfam family "Bacterial small subunit ribosomal RNA", at positions 524 to 777 of the family's 1533-position model. The record is from RNAcentral.
UACGUAGGGGGCUAGCGUUGUCCGGAAUCAUUGGGCGUAAAGGGUGCGUAGGCGGGUCUUUAAGUCAGGGGUGAAAUCCUGGAGCUCAACUCCAGAACUGCCUUUGAUACUGAGGAUCUUGAGUUCGGGAGAGGUGAGUGGAACUGCGAGUGUAGAGGUGAAAUUCGUAGAUAUUCGCAAGAACACCAGUGGCGAAGGCGACUUCCUGGCCUGUUCUUGACGCUGAGGCGCGAAAGCUAGGGGAGCAAACGGGG